UAUUAAGAUUAUGGGUCAUUUUUGUCUUACAAUGGGGUUAUGUUUUGAUAACCUUAUUUUAAAUCAAGAAUGGCCCGUAACAUUAAUAACUAUAGUAGUAAUGGAGAGUUUCAGCAACAACUUCUACAACUUAGCUCUGACCGAGAAAGUCCACGGUCUGCACAUACGCAAGGUUGUUAGUUGUACUGUUGCUUUUUGUAUCUGUUUUGAUCAUAUUGUUGACCAAUAAAACAGUUUUCUGUCAUCAUGUUUUCAAUACGAGAAGGAAGUGAUCUUUGCUGUCUGAUGCAACUCAGAAUUUUAAAAUUUACUGUCAGGUGGUGCAAUAUAAUAGAUGAUUUUUCACAUGUCCAAACUUGACUACCUAAACACUUCUACAUAAAAAUAAAUCAUCCAAAGCACUAUUCAGCAGUUGUAUAAAUACAUCAACUUUAUUAUAGCAAACAUUUUCAGUGAUUGUCCACCCUUUUCAGGCUACAAACAUUCAAAAUAAAAAUCAAACAACAAAAAAAGAACAUCGAAUAUCAUGUGAAAAGUCUGUUGUUACCGUAGAAAUAUUAAAAUAAUAAAAAUUAAACAAAACGUAAAAACAAACUAAAAAUAAAAAUAUUAAAAGCCUAUAAUAUACUAAAAGGCUAUUAACAUUGGAGUGCGUACUCUUCAUAUAGGAUUCCGCUAGGCAGAAAAUGCACUUAAGUAGCAUGCCUUCUAAACAAGAUUUCAAGGGGUUAAGUACUUGCCUUUUAAAUUAGCUUACAAAGAUCUUUCUCCCGUUGUCCGUGUAGUGUUUGCUCAGCAUUGUGAAUAUCUGGCCUACUCCUGUGGUUCCUUUUCCAUUCUUUCAGCAGGUAUUUCCAAGUUGUGGGCACUUGGGUCCCUGGGCGAUCAUUGAGGAAUCAUUCAGUGUCUUGCCUUUUUAAAAUAUGUAAGGUUUCAGUGAUCAAUAUUUGGGAGCAGCAUUAACUGGUUUUAUAGUGCUAAUUUGAAGUUAAAACUGAAAUUAAUGAUUAAUGAGGAUUUUUUAUAUAUUAAGU
This 1034-nucleotide long non-coding RNA is filed under the name Androctonus crassicauda. Lineage: Eukaryota; Metazoa; Arthropoda; Arachnida; Scorpiones; Buthidae. The record is from RNAcentral.